RNAcentral lists this ribosomal RNA (47 nucleotides) under Scapania ciliata. RNAcentral's name for it is "partial 26S ribosomal RNA". Lineage: Eukaryota; Viridiplantae; Streptophyta; Jungermanniopsida; Jungermanniales; Scapaniaceae. The record is from RNAcentral.
GGACCUCAGAUCAGGCAAGAUUACCCGCUGAGUUAAGCAUAUCAUCA